GCAAGUCGUGCGAGAAAGUAUCUUCGGAUAUGAGUAGAGCGGCGGACGGGUGAGUAACGCGUAGGAAUCUACCUAGUAGAAGGGGAUAGCCCGGGGAAACCCGGAUUAAUACCGUAUACCUCCUUCGGGAGAAAGAAGGCCUCUCUUUGAAGCUUUCGCUAUUAGAUGAGCCUGCGUAAGAUUAGCUUGUUGGUGAGGUAAAGGCUCACCAAGGCGACGAUCUUUAGCUGGUCUGAGAGGACGAUCAGCCACAUUGGGACUGAGACACGGCCCAGACUCCUACGGGAGGCAGCAGUGGGGAAUAUUGGACAAUGGGCGAAAGCCUGAUCCAGCCAUACCGCGUGUGUGAAGAAGGCCUUCGGGUUGUAAAGCACUUUAAGCGGGGAGAAAAAGUUAUAAGUUAAUACCUUAUAACCGUGAUGUUACCUGCAGAAUAAGCACCGGCUAAUUCCGUGCCAGCAGCCGCGGUAAUACGGAAGGUGCAAGCGUUAAUCGGAAUUACUGGGCGUAAAGCGCGCGUAGGUGGUUUGUUAAGUUGGAUGUGAAAGCCCUGGGCUCAACCUAGGAACUGCAUCCAAAACUAACUCACUAGAGUACGAUAGAGGGAGGUAGAAUUCAUAGUGUAGCGGUGGAAUGCGUAGAUAUUAUGAAGAAUACCAGUGGCGAAGGCGGCCUCCUGGAUCUGUACUGACACUGAGGUGCGAAAGCGUGGGUAGCGAACAGGAUUAGAUACCCUGGUAGUCCACGCCGUAAACGAUGACCACUAGCUGUUGGAAGACAAUGUUUUUCGGUGGCGCAGCUAACGUUUUAAGUUGUCCGCCUGGGGG
Molecule: ribosomal RNA, 827 nt
Filed under: uncultured Gammaproteobacteria bacterium
Lineage: Bacteria; Pseudomonadati; Pseudomonadota; Gammaproteobacteria
Description: bacterial SSU rRNA
Rfam family: Bacterial small subunit ribosomal RNA
Source: RNAcentral